AGCGAACGCUGGCGGCAGGCUUAACACAUGCAAGUCGAGCGGGCGUAGCAAUACGUCAGCGGCAGACGGGUGAGUAACGCGUGGGAACAUACCUCUUGGUUCGGAACAACACAGGGAAACUUGUGCUAAUACCGGAUAAGCCCUUACGGGGAAAGAUUUAUCGCCGAGAGAUUGGCCCGCGUCUGAUUAGCUAGUUGGUGAGGUAAUGGCUCACCAAGGCGACGAUCAGAGCUGGUCUGAGAGGAUGAUCAGCCACAUUGGGACUGAGACACGGCCCAAACUCCUACGGGAGGCAGCAGUGGGGAAUAUUGGACAAUGGGCGCAAGCCUGAUCCAGCCAUGCCGCGUGAGUGAUGAAGGCCCUAGGGUUGUAAAGCUCUUUUGUGCGGGAAGAUAAUGACGGUACCGCAAGAAUAAGCCCCGGCUAACUUCGUGCCAGCCGCCGCCGUAAG
This 451-nucleotide ribosomal RNA is filed under the name uncultured bacterium. RNAcentral describes it as "bacterial SSU rRNA". It matches the Rfam family "Bacterial small subunit ribosomal RNA", at positions 29 to 524 of the family's 1533-position model. The record is from RNAcentral.